Molecule: ribosomal RNA, 521 nt
Filed under: uncultured bacterium
Lineage: Bacteria
Description: bacterial SSU rRNA
Rfam family: Bacterial small subunit ribosomal RNA
Source: RNAcentral
GUAACGUAGCUAACGCGUGAAGUUGACCGCCUGGGGAGUACCGUCGCAAGAUUAAAACUCAAAGGAAUUGACGGGGACCCGCCCAAGCGGUGGAUGAUGUGGAUUAAUUCGAUGCAACGCGAAAAACCUUACCUACCCUUUACAUGCCACUAACGAAGCAGAGAUGCAUUAGGUGCUCGAAAGAGAAAGUGGACACAGGUGCUGCAUGGCUGUCGNCAGCUCGUGUCGUGAGAUGUUGGGUUAAGUCCCGCAACGAGCGCAACCCUUGUCUCUAGUUGCUACGAAAGGGCACUCUAGAGAGACUGCCGGUGACAAACCGGAGGAAGGUGGGGAUGACGUCAAGUCCUCAUGGCCCUUAUGGGUAGGGCUUCACACGUCAUACAAUGGUGCAUACAGAGGGUUGCCAAGUCGCGAGGUGGNGCUAAUCCCAGAAAAUGCAUCGUAGUCCGGAUCGUAGUCUGCAACUCGACUACGUGAAGCUGGAAUCGCUAGUAAUCGCGGAUCAGCAUGCCGCGGUGAAU